This is a long non-coding RNA of Fundulus heteroclitus (mummichog), 115 nucleotides long. RefSeq lists it as uncharacterized. The record is from RefSeq and is a predicted model, not a curated record. The transcript is spliced from 3 exons. NCBI's taxonomy places the organism in Eukaryota, Metazoa, Chordata, Actinopteri, Cyprinodontiformes, Fundulidae.
UCUGUGAAAGCUGCACGAGAGCGUGCUGAGUGAAGCUGAGCCGUUGCACUGAUUCAAACCCCGAUAUGUUCCCAUUCAGGAAAUAAACUGCCUGACAACCCAGAAACUCGUCUUC